UUGGUUAAGUUAGAAAGGGCGCACGGUGGAUGCCUUGGCACUAGGAGCCGAAGAAGGACGGGACUAACACCGAUAUGCUUUGGGGAGCUGUACGUAAGCGUUGAUCCAGAGAUUUCCGAAUGGGGGAACCCACUAUCUUUAGUCGGAUAGUAUCCUUACGUGAAUACAUAGCGUGAGGAAGGCAGACCCAGGGAACUGAAACAUCUAAGUACCUGGAGGAAGAGAAAGAAAAAUCGAUUUCCUGAGUAGCGGCGAGCGAAACGGAAAGAGCCCAAACCAAGAAGCUUGCUUCUUGGGGUUGUAGGACACUCUAUACGGAGUUACAAAAGAAAGUUAUAAAUGAAGCGGUCUGGAAAGGCCCGCCAAAGACGGUAACAGCCCGGUAGUUGAAAUGGCUUUCCCUCCAGAGUGGAUCCUGAGUACGGCGGAACACGUGAAAUUCCGUCGGAAUCCGGGAGGACCAUCUCCCAAGGCUAAAUACUCCCUAGUGACCGAUAGUGAACCAGUACCGUGAGGGAAAGGUGAAAAGCACCCCGGAAGGGGAGUGAAACAGUUCCUGAAACCGUGUGCCUACAAGUAGUUAGAGCCCGUUAAUGGGUGAUAGCGUGCCUUUUGUAGAAUGAACCGGCGAGUUACGAUUUGUUGCAAGGUUAAGCGGAAAAAGCGGAGCCGUAGCGAAAGCGAGUCUGAAUAGGGCGCAUAAGUAACAGGUCGUAGACCCGAAACCAGGUGAUCUACCCAUGUCCAGGAUGAAGGUAAGGUAAUACUUACUGGAGGUCCGAACCCACGCACGUUGAAAAGUGCGGGGAUGAGGUGUGGGUAGCGGAGAAAUUCCAAUCGAACUUGGAGAUAGCUGGUUCUCUCCGAAAUAGCUUUAGGGCUAGCCUCGAGGUAAAGAGUCAUGGAGGUAGAGCACUGUUUGGACUAGGGGCCCUUCUCGGGUUACCGAAUUCAGAUAAACUCCGAAUGCCAUGUACUUAUACUCGGGAGUCAGACUGCGAGUGAUAAGAUCCGUAGUCGAAAGGGAAACAGCCCAGACCACCAGUUAAGGUCCCCAAAUAUAUGUUAAGUGGAAAAGGAUGUGGGGUUGCUUAGACAACCA
RNAcentral lists this ribosomal RNA (1102 nucleotides) under Listeria monocytogenes. Its description in RNAcentral is "partial 23S ribosomal RNA". It matches the Rfam family "Bacterial large subunit ribosomal RNA", at positions 1 to 1095 of the family's 2925-position model. The record is from RNAcentral. Lineage: Bacteria; Bacillati; Bacillota; Bacilli; Caryophanales; Listeriaceae.